UACGUAGGCAGCGAGCGUUGUUCGGAGUUACUGGGCGUAAAGGGUGUGUAGGCGGUUGUUUUAAGUUUGGUGUGAAAUCUCCCGGCUCAACUGGGAGGGUGCGCCGAAUACUGAAUGACUAGAGUACGGGAGAGGAAAGUGGAAUUCCUGGUGUAGCGGUGAAAUGCGUAGAUAUCAGGAGGAACACCGGUGGUGUAGACGGCUUUCUGGACCGUAACUGACGCUGAAACACGAAAGCGUGGGUAGCAAACAGG
Molecule: ribosomal RNA, 254 nt
Filed under: uncultured bacterium
Lineage: Bacteria
Description: partial 16S ribosomal RNA
Rfam family: Bacterial small subunit ribosomal RNA
Source: RNAcentral